GAUGAACGCUGGCGGCGUGCCUAAUACAUGCAAGUCGAGCGAACGGACGAGAAUCUUGCUUCUCUGAUGUUAUCGGCUGACGUGUGAGUAACACGUGGAUAACCUACCUAUAAGACUGGGAUAACUUCGGGAAACCGGAUCUAAUACCGGAUGAUAUUUUGAACCGCAUUGUUCAAAAGUGUAAGACUGUCUUGCUGUCUCUUAUAGAUGUAUCCGCGCUGCAUUAGCUAGUUGGUAAGGUAACGGCUUACCAAGGCAACGAUGCAUAGCCGACCUGAGAGGGUGAUCGGCCACACUGGAACUGAGACACGGUCCAGACUCCUACGGGAGGAAGCAGUAGGGAAUCUUCCGCAAUGGGCGAAAGCCUGACGGAGCAACGCCGCGUGAGUGAUGAAGGUCUUCGGAUCGUAAAACUCUGUUAUUAGGGAAGAACAUAUGUGUAAGUAACUGUGCACAUCUUGACGGUACCUAAUCAGAAAGCCACGGCUAACUACGUG
This 497-nucleotide ribosomal RNA is filed under the name uncultured bacterium. Its description in RNAcentral is "partial 16S ribosomal RNA". It matches the Rfam family "Bacterial small subunit ribosomal RNA", at positions 28 to 507 of the family's 1533-position model. The record is from RNAcentral.